UAGGGAAUCUUCGGCAAUGGGGGGAACCCUGACCGAGCAACGCCGCGUGAGUGAAGAAGGUUUUCGGAUCGUAAAGCUCUGUUGUUAAGGAAGAACGAGUGUGAGAAUGGAAAGUUCAUGCUGUGACGGUACUUAACCAGAAAGGGACGGCUAACUACGUGCCAGCAGCCGCGGUAAUACGUAGGUCCCGAGCGUUGUCCGGAUUUAUUGGGCGUAAAGCGAGCGCAGGCGGUUAGAAAAGUCUGAAGUGAAAGGCAGUGGCUCAACCAUUGUAGGCUUUGGAAACUGUUUAACUUGAGUGCAGAAGGGGAGAGUGGAAUUCCAUGUGUAGCGGUGAAAUGCGUAGAUAUAUGGAGGAACACCGGUGGCGAAAGCGGCUAUCUGGUCUGUAACUGACACUGAGGCUCGAAAGCGUGGGGAGCGAACAGG
Molecule: ribosomal RNA, 429 nt
Filed under: Verrucomicrobiota bacterium
Lineage: Bacteria; Pseudomonadati; Verrucomicrobiota
Description: Verrucomicrobia bacterium partial 16S ribosomal RNA
Rfam family: Bacterial small subunit ribosomal RNA
Source: RNAcentral